This is a small RNA of Glarea lozoyensis ATCC 20868, 297 nucleotides long. It matches the Rfam family "5' ureB small RNA". The record is from Rfam. NCBI's taxonomy places the organism in Eukaryota, Fungi, Ascomycota, Leotiomycetes, Helotiales, Helotiaceae.
CUUCAGUGACUUGUUGCGGACAUAUGAAAUGUAUGUGGGUGUCAAAACCCCCCGCAGUUAUGAUCUUUCCUUCACCGGCUAUUAUGUCUGUGCAAGAUCCGACGAUCAUUCCAGGGGAAACACCAGCCAUAACAUCCGGGUUUCCAGCUUUCCCAAUACCAACGAUUACCCCAUUUUUGACGCCGAUAUCUGCUUUAUAUAUGCCAGUCCAGUCCACAAUCAAGGCAUUCACAAUCGCAAGAUCCAGAGAAAUGUCGUCAGAAACGCCUGUUGCUUGACCCAUACCUUCACGCAAUG